Long non-coding RNA from Homo sapiens (human), 1395 nucleotides. Ensembl annotates it as PDK4 antisense RNA 1. Its record names the gene PDK4-AS1. The record is from Ensembl. Lineage: Eukaryota; Metazoa; Chordata; Mammalia; Primates; Hominidae.
GAGGCUCAGCUACUCACUGUGUUCUUGCGUGAGUCUCCUGGCUGUUAGGAAUUCUGCUGCUCAAGUGGAAAAAACAGAUUGCAAAGUACUUCAUAGAUCACCCUGUACUGAGUAUGGCAAACUGAUCAACAGCCUACUUACUGCUACAUUUAUAUUAUUUAAAAUAACUGCCAGCUUUUUUAAAAGCUCAGCUGAUUCCGCAGGAUGUUGUGGCUGUGAACUGGGAAGCCUGCCAUGCUAUUAUUUUGAAAAGUGCUGUGCAAACAGUGUUCCUCUCAGAUGGUUUCCAGAGUUAGUUCCUUACAAGCAUUUCCUCUUGAAACAUCGGGAAUCUAAAUAAAGAGAAAGGUGUCUAAUGGUCUAGUCUACCAACUUCACUAUGCUGAUUUAUGAAAGAAUUGCUGAAACCCAGUGAAUAAUAGCAUUUGCCCUUCUUUCUCAAAAAAGCAGCAUUUGCUUUCUUCUGGCAAGGAAUAAUUAAGCUAAUUUCUCCAUGAACCUUGGAAAAAGUGGCAACGAAUAAUGGAUUUGUCCCUCAAAGAACAUUUCAAGCAAACAUCUUAUCAGCUACAAAUUCAUUUGAGGCAGUUCCAGGUCAGCCACAGGCAAUUUUUCUCAUUAAAAUACUGUUUAAACUGUUGUAUCCAGAUGACACAGGAGACAUAUCAGACAAACAACACCUGCAAGAAGAAUUGGUGAAGUAUUGACUUUUCAUCAAUCAAAAAGUUUACUAAGCAGAUGAAAAUAAUUUGCCUUCACAGUGACAUUUUCCUGACGUCUUGCUAGUACUUAAAGGCAUUGUUUUUUCUUUAACACCCAAACUUUAAUUACCAGAAAAGGUUAGCAUCAAAACAAAGGACAUGUUGGUAAUUUAGAGGCCAUAUCAGAAAAAUAAAUUCAUUUUGGUUUGAAUGAAUUUUUUGUCUUGUCUCCUUCUCCCCCUUUGGCCACAUCCCCCUCCCCCACAUGACCACGCUUUCCUGUGUUCAUGGUCAUUCUGUUAACAAUGUAUAGAUUUGGAGAUUUCUUUCUAGUUUUAUAAGUUUUUCUAAGUUUUAUACGUCUUAUCACUAAGUGCAACUAUUCAGUUUAAAAAAAGAAGGAGUAUUUUGUAGCAGAGAAGUAUGAGUUGAGGACGUAGGAAUCCUGUUUUACAUUUCUUUUGCUAUUUACUCACUGAAAGCCCUUGGGGGAAAAUUAUUUCAUCUCCCUACAUCUCAGCUUCCAUACUGACAAAAAUUUUAUUGUUCUAGAUGACCUCUAGGGUGCAUUCCACUUUUCAAAUCUCCUUGGUUGCUCAUUAUUGAUUUUAAAAUUCUCACAGAAUGAGUCUGAAUAAUUGUUGCAUUUCCCUUAUUGAGGAAGUAUCUUUGAUUAGAGUUCAUUUAGCAUAAA